AGAACAAAAUAAAAACUGGGAAGUGGCGUAGGUUUGGUUUAAUUAGUUCUGGAAAAAAAAGGAUCCCAAUAUAAACACGAUCCUAAUUCGUGAAAUUAAGCAUUAAAUAAUAACUAAACCUAUUUUAAUUAUAAAAGAGGGCAUAGGGACACCUUUAGGAGGAUGAUAUAAAACCAAGAAAAACCUCAGAGCUUGAUUUAGAAGGUUCUCUGAAGACAAAUUUGUAAAACUCCUCGGCAAUUAUGUACGCAGUUCAAGCCACCACGUAUCUCAUUGAGCCUCCUCUUCAACUGCCAUCGAUGUUUGUUCGAUCCAGACCCUAUGACCCUCAAGCACUUUACCGGCUUCAGCAAGGACACGCGUAGUGUUGUUCGAAGAUAUGAGGACAUGCAAGAAGGAAAUAACAUCAAAGGUCUCCUUUUUCUUUCUGAUAUUUUCAAUUAUUGGGCUAAUGAAGGAUCUAUCUGCAGAUGUACUGUUGAUAUUUAAAAUAACUGUGAGAGCAUCUCCUUUUACAUGGAUCUUUUGAAAACCCAGUUCCUCCGAGAGAGAAAGCCUGUUCGCAAGCUUUUGCUUCAGCCAUCUCAGCAUCCAGGAUAAAGUCAUUAUGGGGGAGGCGACCAUACUUUGGUGGCUGGGGUUGGAGAUUGAGUAGGGGAAACCUUUGAAGCAUCGAGUUCUUGUAUUGAGUGAUAGGCGACGUUGUUGAACCGAGAGCAAUUCGAAUAAAGUAAGCUAGCCAACGGAGCAAGUUUUGUUCAGCAGGAAUAAACGAGAGGUUGAUGCUAAGAUCAUGGAAAACCUUGUGAACAAAGUUGCAUUCUUGAGUGAGAUGUAAGGUUUAGAGACCAAAUGGAGCCAAAAUAAGUAGAUAACCAACCAUUUUGGAUGAGGUUUGGAUUUCUUGAUUGCUCGUCAGUGGAAUUGAUCAACCAAUGAUAGUUACUUUUGACAGAAUAAAUUCUCGAGCGAUCUCCUCUCCAAAUGUGCAUGUCUUUGAUGUCAACAGAAGGGAGUGGUAAGCAGAGAAUCUGAUGUGCUUGUUGUGAAUUCAAAAGAGAGAGGACACUGAAUUGCUU
Molecule: long non-coding RNA, 1079 nt
Organism: Hibiscus syriacus
Lineage: Eukaryota; Viridiplantae; Streptophyta; Magnoliopsida; Malvales; Malvaceae
Exons: 4
Source: RefSeq, a predicted model, not a curated record